This 497-nucleotide ribosomal RNA is filed under the name uncultured bacterium. RNAcentral describes it as "partial 16S ribosomal RNA". It matches the Rfam family "Bacterial small subunit ribosomal RNA", at positions 28 to 507 of the family's 1533-position model. The record is from RNAcentral.
GAUGAACGCUGGCGGCGUGCCUAAUACAUGCAAGUCGAGCGAACAGACGAGGAGCUUGCUCCUCUGACGUUAGCGGCGGACGGGUGAGUAACACGUGGAUAACCUACCUAUAAGACUGGGAUAACUUCGGGAAACCGGAGCUAAUACCGUAUAAUAUAUUGAACCGCAUGGUUCAAUAGUGAAAGACGGUUUUGCUGUCACUUAUAGAUGGAUCCGCGCCGCAUUAGCUAGUUGGUAAGGUAACGGCUUACCAAGGCGACGAUGCGUAGCCGACCUGAGAGGGUGAUCGGCCACACUGGAACUGAGACACGGUCCAGACGCCUACGGGAGGCAGCAGUAGGGAAUCUUCCGCAAUGGGCGAAAGCCUGACGGAGCAACGCCGCGUGAGUGAUGAAGGUCUUCGGAUCGUAAAACUCUGUUAUUAGGGAAGAACAAAUGUGUAAGUAACUAUGCACGUCUUGACGGUACCUAAUCAGAAAGCCACGGCUAACUACGUG